GACGAACGCUGGCGGCGUGCCUAAUACAUGCAAGUCGAGCGGACAGACGAGGAUCUUGCUCCGCUCACGUUAGCGGCGGGCGGGUGUGUAACACGUGUAUAACCUACCUAUAAGUCUGGUAACAUUUCGGGAAACCGGCUCUAAUACCGUAUAAUAUCCUGAUCCGCAUUGUGCAAUAGUGAAAGACGGUGUUGCUGGCACGUAUAGAUGCUUCCGCGCCGCUUUAGCUAGUAGGGAAGGUAACGGCUUACCAAGGCAACUAUGCGUAGCCGAACUGAGAGAGUGAUCGGCCACAUGGGAGCUGGAACACGGUCAAGACGACUACGGGAGGCAGCAGUAGGGAAUCGGCCGCAAUGGUCGAGAGCUUGACGGAGCAACGCCGCGUGAGAGACGAAGGUCUUCGGAUCGUAAAACUCUGUUAUUAGUGAAGAACAAAUGUGUAAGUAACUAUGCACGUCGUGACGGUACCUAAUCAGAAAGCCACGGCUAACUACGUG
RNAcentral lists this ribosomal RNA (497 nucleotides) under uncultured bacterium. Its description in RNAcentral is "partial 16S ribosomal RNA". It matches the Rfam family "Bacterial small subunit ribosomal RNA", at positions 28 to 507 of the family's 1533-position model. The record is from RNAcentral.